This 391-nucleotide unclassified non-coding RNA is filed under the name Hevea brasiliensis (rubber tree). Lineage: Eukaryota; Viridiplantae; Streptophyta; Magnoliopsida; Malpighiales; Euphorbiaceae. The record is from RNAcentral.
AGAAGAGGUCAUCCACUACACAAGACAAUCUUUAGGUCAUCCAAUGCCCACUUAAAUUGAGGAAAAAAGGAUUCUUCUGCGGGUGUUAAUAUUGACAAAUGUGUAGAAUCUUUAAUUUCUCUGCUUCAUGUUCACUUGUUAAUGGCAGUAACUUCUUUGUCUCCGCAUUCUAGCUCCCCAGGAUAUGCUUUUUAAAUCUUUAGCAUUACUCUUUCUUAUUAGCUCUGCCAGCUGAGAUUGCCAUCUCUGUUCCCAAUCAUCUCUAGCAUCCAAUCCCUCAUUGUGUUCAUAAAAAUUGGCAAAUCAAAGAUUAGAAACAAAAUACAAACCAACUUAUCAAAACUUAAAUGAAUGCAGGUGAUGGUACAUUGUUUAUCGUUCCAAAAUCUUG